RNAcentral lists this transfer RNA (72 nucleotides) under Dysgonamonadaceae bacterium. RNAcentral describes it as "tRNA-Arg". It matches the Rfam family "tRNA". Rfam says of the family: Transfer RNA (tRNA) molecules are approximately 80 nucleotides in length. Lineage: Bacteria; Pseudomonadati; Bacteroidota; Bacteroidia; Bacteroidales; Dysgonomonadaceae. The record is from RNAcentral.
GCCCCUGUAGUUCAAUGGAUAGAACUGUCGUUUCCUAAACAACAAAUUCGAGUUCGAUUCUCGGCGGGGGUA